This is a long non-coding RNA of Ictidomys tridecemlineatus (thirteen-lined ground squirrel), 2674 nucleotides long. RefSeq lists it as uncharacterized. The record is from RefSeq and is a predicted model, not a curated record. NCBI's taxonomy places the organism in Eukaryota, Metazoa, Chordata, Mammalia, Rodentia, Sciuridae.
UAAACUUCAAAUAGAUGUUAAUAUUAUUUUUUCCCCUACAAGAGGUGUUUUAGAUGUUGCUUUCUAUUGCCAAGCUCUGGGGCAAUUUGUUACACAGCACUAGCUGACAGAUGUCUCUGACUUUAGUUUCAUUCCAACUCUUUGAUCUCAUGGGUGUUUUCUUGAGCCUCUCUGGGAAUGUGGUACGGAUACGUAAACAAACAAGAAGUGGAUCCCAGAUCUUGCAUUCAGACUCAGAACCACCUGCCAUCUAUGUCCGUGCUGGUUUUGUGGAGGGUAGUUGAAGGAAUCAAGACAGACUCCUGCAAUCACGUCUUUGCCACCUGGGGACAAGGUGGCUGCCCUCUGAGAAACACUUGGGAGGGGACACCUAUGGGUUAAAUCUGCCUGCUUUUUAGGGCUGGGGUUGUGGCUCAGCGGUAGAGCGCUCACCUGGCACGUGCCAGGCCCUGGGUUCGAUCCUCAGCACCACAUAAAAAUAAAUAAACAAAAUAAAGGUGUUGUGUCCAACUAAAAAAUACAUAUCAAAAAAAUAUUUGCCUGCUUUCACUAGAAGCUGCAUUUUCAAAAUCUCCUCAGACUGAGUGUGCCCCAUCCAGACAUUUUAUUGACUCAUGGAAAAAAUUUGUCUGGGAUGCCUGACUCCGAGGCUGAAGCAGAUAAAAUGAUUUAAAGAGUGGUUUUUCAUUGUGCGCAUACUCUCUGCUGGCGAUACUCAAUAACCAUUUUGCUUCUCACUGUUUUUUUUGUGAUGCCAACAGAGCAAACGCUACAAAUAUUAUGGGAAAUUGAAGUCACAAGCAGCAGGUGUGUAUCAUAAGAGCUUUUUUUCCCCCUCCCCUCACAAAUUUCUCUUGGGGCAUAAGAUGAAGAGUGUUUUGCGUCUGGUGAAAUCAAGCAGACACUGGGCAGAAGUCUCCUAUCAUGACAUUUUCCUCUCGGGGAUCUCAGGAUUUCCCUGAGUACUUUAAAUGACGACUCUCCUUGUUUCUGUUCUGCAUGCACAGGCGUUUUUUUUUUUUUAAAUUCUUGGAUGAGAAAUAAAAAGCUAUUACCGGGCUGGUCAAGUAAACAUCUCUAUGAAGAAAGAUCCCUUUGCAUUCCAGGCAGAGAGUUAUUCUACAAAGACAGCGCGUCUUUCUGCAACGCAUGGUUUAUCUUUUCAAAGACUCCAUCGAUCCCAAACUGAACAGCUCCUCUUGGCUUUCCAAGAGGUGGUGUCUUGCAGACAGGUGGCCGCUUGUGCCCUGAACGGAAGCCCCUCUGUGAGGAUUUCUUCGCGGCUCAGCUGAUGAGCUCCAAAGAUGCCUGCCAGGUCUCUUCAGGGGACGGAGCUCAGGGCUGCCUCUCACGGGCUGACGGGCAAAGAUUUCCGAGCUGAGAGGGCAGACGAGCUGUGCCCCACCAAACAGAGACCGUGGGGAGACUUUGGGGACAUUUGGGGACUGCUGUGGCUGCUUCCUCCCCAGAUCUGAUUGGGACACAAACACACAGUGAUCGUGGUGGGCGAAGCAGUCACUGGGUCUUACCCAAACGCGUUCCGACUCAGCCUGGCCCAGGGAUGGCGAUCCACUUUCAUCAUUUGGUGCAACGAAACCGCCUUCCGCCUCUGAGAGAAAUCAUCCUGCCCCUGACCUCCCGAGUCCGACUGAUUCCAUUUGCCAGCAGACGCCAUAGUUCCACUCUUUUUCAUGGCUGAGUAGCGCUCCUUUGUGCACAUUUUCCUGAUGCCCUCGUCCACCGGUACGCUGCCACCCCAGGUCUUUCCUGGCGUUGCCAACAAAGCUCAGAGCCACCAAGGUCAGCCCGACGGUCAUUUAUUUAUUUUUCCUUUUCCGCAUGGAUGGCUGCCUUCGAUAGUUGCCCUUUGGACAUAACCGCGUGAGACUGUAAGAAAGCUGAGGAACGUAGCGAGACAUGGGGGACAGGCUUAAGGAGGAGCCCGUCUGUGACAGCCACAGAGACUCGAGUGCGUGCAACCGCCUAAGGAAUUGGCCAGGAACUUGCUGCGGCUUGGAAUGGGUUCAUGGUGGGUUCCCCAAAGCCUCGUGUGUCACCAGUGUGCUUCUCUGGGCAGCCGUGUGACGAGGCACUGGGACUUUGAAGGGGUGGGGCCUGAUGGGAUUUCUGAAGUCCACUGAGGGCGCGCCUUUGGAAAGGACCGUAGAUCCGCGGCUUCUCUUGACGUGUUUCCUCUUGCACUCGCUCUGGCCAUCGGCCACAGGGCCUUUGCCCAAGCUGCUGCCAGGCUAUUUGGAUCUCCCGUCUCCAAAACAGUGCACUCAAUCUACGUCUUUUCUUUAUAAAGUAAGGGUGCCUCGGGUAUUUCAUCAUAGUCACAUAAGACAGACGGAUGCAGAACACUUUUACACCACGAGUUAAACCUAGGUCAUCAGAACCAGUUUUUGAGUGAAGCAGAAAAAAUGGAGACGGGUCGGCCACAGGCACGAUUUAGGCUGCCUUCAAAUCACAGUGGAGGCUGAUCACGUCACGGGGGGAGCUGAGUGGAAGCUUUCUUCCUGGCACCCAGGAAGCUCUUGGUGGCUGCAAUGGGGUGAGCUGGCCUCUCUGCACCCAGCACCCAGUGUGCACAGUCACAGCACCCAAGAGGCCAGGGAAGGACCGUCAUUGAAGCCUGAGGAGAAGGACUUACCCCCUGGGAACGGGACGUUUC